RNAcentral lists this small RNA (105 nucleotides) under Erinaceus europaeus (western European hedgehog). RNAcentral's name for it is "Y RNA (ENSEEUG00000018186.1)". The record is from RNAcentral. Lineage: Eukaryota; Metazoa; Chordata; Mammalia; Eulipotyphla; Erinaceidae.
UGCUGGUCUGAUGGUAGUGGGUUAUCAGAAAAACUCUUAAUGUUAGUGUCACUAAAGCUGAUAAACAAUCUUCCCCCCACCUUUGCUGGAUUUGACUGGUAAGAA